RNAcentral lists this transfer RNA (93 nucleotides) under compost metagenome. Its description in RNAcentral is "tRNA-Asp". The record is from RNAcentral.
CCCCGGCAGGGCCGCAGGAGGCCGUGGGCCGCUGUCGCCGGGCCGCGGCAAGGCCGGGGAAUCGCCGCCGGCCGGUUCAACCUGCGCCGCGGC